Molecule: ribosomal RNA, 400 nt
Filed under: Salpingoeca fusiformis
Lineage: Eukaryota; Choanoflagellata; Craspedida; Salpingoecidae
Description: partial small subunit ribosomal RNA
Rfam family: Eukaryotic small subunit ribosomal RNA
Source: RNAcentral
GCUUGUCUCAAAGAUUAAGCCAUGCAUAUCUAAGAAUAACUAACAUUAUCUUGAAUCUGUGAAUGGCUCAUUAUAUCAGUUAUAGUUUACAUGAUAGUCAAUACUACUUGGAUAACCGUAGUAAUUCUAGAGCUAAUACAUGCGAAAAGACCCGACUUUUGGAAGGGUUGUAUUUAUUAGAUACAAAACCAAUACGGAGCAAUCCGUUUCUUGGUGAUUCAUAAUAACUUUGCGGAUCGCAUGGCCUUGUGCCGGCGAUGAAUCAUUCAAAUUUCUGCCCUAUCAACUUUCGAUGGUAAGGUAUUGGCCUACCAUGGUUACCACGGGUAACGGGGAAUUAGGGUUCGGUUCCGGAGAGGGGGCCUGAGAAAUGGCCACCACAUCCAAGGAAGGCAGCAGG